GAGUUCUGAUCCUUAAAGGAUGGCCGUCCUGUCUGGGCUGCUGCCGCUCAGUGGCGGCGGACGGGCCGGCAGACAGGACACAGAGACGUCCGCUCAGACAUGGGGACCCGUCCAAAGACACGGGCUCGGUCCUAAAGGCAGAGCGGGACAAA
Non-coding RNA from Nothobranchius furzeri (turquoise killifish), 152 nucleotides. Lineage: Eukaryota; Metazoa; Chordata; Actinopteri; Cyprinodontiformes; Nothobranchiidae. The record is from Ensembl.